RNAcentral lists this ribosomal RNA (346 nucleotides) under uncultured Nectria. Its description in RNAcentral is "SSU rRNA". It matches the Rfam family "Eukaryotic small subunit ribosomal RNA", at positions 20 to 370 of the family's 1831-position model. Lineage: Eukaryota; Fungi; Ascomycota; Sordariomycetes; Hypocreales; Nectriaceae. The record is from RNAcentral.
GUAGUCAUAUGCUUGUCUCAAAGAUUAAGCCAUGCAUGUCUAAGUAUAAGCAAUUAUACAGCGAAACUGCGAAUGGCUCAUUAUAUAAGUUAUCGUUUAUUUGAUAGUACCUUCCUACAUGGAUAACCGUGGUAAUUCUAGAGCUAAUACAUGCUAAAAAUCCCGACUUCGGAAGGGAUGUAUUUAUUAGAUUAAAAACCAAUGCCCUUCGGGGCUCUUUGGUGAAUCAUGAUAACUUCACGGAUCGCACGGCCUUGCGCCGGCGAUGUUUCAUUCAAAUUUCUUCCCUAUCAACUUUCGAUGUUUGGGUAUUGGCCAAACAUGGUUGCAACGGGUAACGGGGAAU